Molecule: ribosomal RNA, 253 nt
Filed under: uncultured bacterium
Lineage: Bacteria
Description: partial 16S ribosomal RNA
Rfam family: Bacterial small subunit ribosomal RNA
Source: RNAcentral
UACGGAGGAUCCGAGCGUUAUCCGGAUUUAUUGGGUUUAAAGGGUGCGUAGGCGGCUUCAUAAGUCAGGGGUGAAAUUCGGCAGCUCAACUGUCGGCGUGCCUUUGAUACUGUGGGGCUUGAAUUUGGUCGAAGGAGGCGGAAUGGGACAAGUAGCGGUGAAAUGCAUAGAUAUGUCCCGGAACCCCAAUUGCGAAGGCAGCUUUCUAGGCCAACAUUGACGCUGAUGCACGAAAGCGUGGGGAUCGAACAGG